Molecule: ribosomal RNA, 16 nt
Filed under: Leptodiscella chlamydospora
Lineage: Eukaryota; Fungi; Ascomycota; Dothideomycetes; Muyocopronales
Description: partial 28S ribosomal RNA
Source: RNAcentral
ACACUUUUUUCACAAA